GAGAGAGGCUCGCAGCAACGAAGACUGCUAAUCUUCGCUACCUUGGUUAGACCCCAGGGCUCACUCG
This 67-nucleotide transfer RNA is filed under the name Centropyge potteri (russet angelfish). RNAcentral's name for it is "tRNA-Ser". RNAcentral also lists the same sequence under 6 other names. The record is from RNAcentral. Lineage: Eukaryota; Metazoa; Chordata; Actinopteri; Pomacanthidae.